Myotis brandtii (Brandt's bat) is the source of this 863-nucleotide long non-coding RNA. RefSeq lists it as uncharacterized. The transcript has 3 exons. The record is from RefSeq and is a predicted model, not a curated record. Lineage: Eukaryota; Metazoa; Chordata; Mammalia; Chiroptera; Vespertilionidae.
CAUUUGCUGAGCUUUCAGAAAUUCCUUUUAUGGUUGUUGAGUCACUGCUUUGUAGCCAGUGCUUUCGGUUUCACGUUACUUAAAACCCUUCACUUCUAAUUAAAGUGUUUUCUGAAUUCCAGAAAGUCACAUCACAUCAGAGGGGAAAUAAAAGUCGAAACAUCCAGUGAAAGGCAGAGAAGUAACAAACCACUGCAACCAACACUGAGGGGGAAAAACAGAUAAGGUGACACCCUGGACAUGGCCUCAGACAUCCACAUGCCAGGCCCGGUGUGCCUCAUUGAGAACACUAACACGCAACUAGUGGUUAAUCCAGAAGCUUUGAAGAUCCUGUCUGCCAUUACACAGCCUGUUGUGGUGGUGGCCAUUGUGGGUCUCUACCGCACAGGCAAAUCCUACCUGAUGAACAAGCUGGCUGGGCAGCAAAAAGGCUUCUCUCUGGGCUCCACGGUUCAGUCUCACACCAAAGGCAUCUGGAUGUGGUGUGUGCCUCACCCUAAGAAGCCAAACCACACCCUAGUUCUUCUUGACACUGAGGGGCUGGGAGAUGUAGAGAAGGUAUGUAUUGAAGAUUCAAUUUGGGAACAAUCCCUUCACUUCUGGGUAUUCUCUACACUAUUUAAUUUUUACUCAAAUAAGAGCUGGCACUAAACCAUAUGUGUUUUUUUCAUUUCUGUUUACGUGCUAAGAGACCAAGUUUUGCAAUCAGGGAUCAUGAAAAUAUAAGGGGGAAUCGUAGAAGACUAUAGUGGUCAUUAGAUAGUAUUCUAAUUAUUAACAAGAGGCUGUAACAGUGAUGGCGAACCUAUGACACACGUGUCAGAGGUGACAUGCGAGCUCAUUUUUUUGGUUGUUUUUUUUGU